AGUGAACGCUGGCGGUAGGCCUAACACAUGCCAGUCGAACGGCAGCACAGUAAGAGCUUGCUCUUACGGGUGGCGAGUGGCGGACGGGUGAGGAAUACAUCGGAAUCUACUUUUUCGUGGGGGAUAACGUAGGGAAACUUACGCUAAUACCGCAUACGACCUACGGGUGAAAGCAGGGGAUCUUCGGACCUUGCGCGAUUGAAUGAGCCGAUGUCGGAUUAGCUAGUUGGCGGGGUAAAGGGCCACCAAGGCGACGAUCCGUAGCUGGUCUGAGAGGAUGAUCAGCCACACUGGAACUGAGACACGGUCCAGACUCCUACGGGAGGCAGCAGUGGGGAAUAUUGGACAAUGGGCGCAAGCCUGAUCCAGCCAUACCGCGUGGGUGAAGAAGGCCUUCGGGUUGUAAAGCCCUUUUGUUGGGAAAGAAAAGCAGCAGGUUAAUACCCCGCUGUUCUGACGGUACCCAAAGAAUAAGCACCGGCUAACUUCGUG
Molecule: ribosomal RNA, 492 nt
Filed under: uncultured bacterium
Lineage: Bacteria
Description: partial 16S ribosomal RNA
Rfam family: Bacterial small subunit ribosomal RNA
Source: RNAcentral